This 815-nucleotide long non-coding RNA is filed under the name Equus caballus (horse). Its description in RNAcentral is "lncRNA (ENSECAG00000050341.1)". The record is from RNAcentral. Lineage: Eukaryota; Metazoa; Chordata; Mammalia; Perissodactyla; Equidae.
GUGCAUUCCCUCCACUCCUCCACUCGGCUCACAAAGCGAGGAAGACAGGCCAGCCCCCCGCCCACGAUUGAGGAACAGCGUGUUUACCUGUACAGCUGGCAAGCAAGCUUUGGGUAGAAGCCUUAACAUCAGACCACAUGGCCGUGCCCAAGUCCUUGUCAAACCAUCACUACCACCAACUUUUAACAACAUCCCCUAAGAGCAGGAAAAAAAGAUCCUGGGUACCAGGGCUGAGAAAGCCAAUGUUCAAAGGAAUGGCUACCAUCACAUUUCCCAGGAGAGCCGGCACAAACCCUGCGCUUCCCUUCCCAUUGUCUUUCCACCAUCCCCUCCCCUCCCGGUACCCACAUCUGUCCAGUUUAUUCAAAAUGACUGCUGGUCUCUGUGAAGAGUAUUUAGAUGACCAGAGGCUGGACAGAGUCCAGCAGGAAGAAGCCUCAAACAUGACUGAACAAAAGGGCCUGAAAUAUCUUCCGAAGUUGCUGGCACUCUAUAGAGACUUGCACCAUCUUCUGAAAGACGCGGACAGCUGGAAACUUGCUGCAGCACCGAAGGUUGGCCCCUCGUGCGCUUGUGCACGCAAACACUCUCCCCCUCCAGAGCACAUGACUGCUAUCUCUGCAUCUCUCACAUUCACAGGCGUAGCACUCAGCCUCGCCCAUGUCCCGAGGGACAGCUGCUCUGAGACCCACCCUGAAGCUAGGCGGCAGGAUGAGCAACGUUUUCCACUGUGAGCAGGAGGCAGGCCAAACUGCGUGUGAGCAGUCACCAGAGAGCUGGUUCCAGUAGCUCAACCUCUCAACUGAGCCAAAAAC